RNAcentral lists this ribosomal RNA (448 nucleotides) under uncultured bacterium. RNAcentral describes it as "bacterial SSU rRNA". It matches the Rfam family "Bacterial small subunit ribosomal RNA", at positions 355 to 796 of the family's 1533-position model. The record is from RNAcentral.
UGGGGAAUUGUUCGCAAUGGGCGCAAGCCUGACGACGCAACGCCGCGUGGAGGAUGAAGGUCUUCGGAUUGUAAACUCCUGUUGCCCGGGACGAAAAGCUUCGACCUAAUACGUCGAAGUCUGACGGUACCGGGUGAGGAAGCCCCGGCUAACUCUGUGCCAGCAGCCGCGGUAAUACAGAGGGGGCAAGCGUUGUUCGGAAUUACUGGGCGUAAAGGGCGCGUAGGCGGCCCGCUAAGUCGAACGUGAAAUCCCCGGGCUCAACCCGGGAACUGCGUCCGAUACUGGCAGGCUUGAAUCCGGGAGAGGGAUGCGGAAUUCCAGGUGUAGCGGUGAAAUGCGUAGAUAUCUGGAGGAACACCGGUGGCGAAGGCGGCAUCCUGGACCGGUAUUGACGCUGAGGCGCGAAAGCCAGGGGAGCAAACGGGAUUAGAUACCCCUGUAGUCC